CCUACGGGCGGCAGCAGUGAGGAAUAUUGGUCAAUGGCCGGAAGGCUGAUCCAGCCAUGCCGCGUGAAGGUCAGUGCCCUAUGGGCGUUAAACUUCUUUUGUGCGGGAGCAAUAAUGGUCACGUGUGGACAGACGAGAGUACCGUACGAAUAAGCAUCGGCUAACUCCGUGCCAGCAGCCGCGGUAAUACGGGGGAUGCAAGCGUUAUCCGGAUUUAUUGGGUUUAAAGGGUGCGUAGGCUGGGAGGUAAGUCAGCGGGGAAAUGCCCCCGCUCAACGGGGUGAAGUGCCAUUGAUACUGCCUUGCUGGAAUGCGGAUGCCGGGGGAGGAAUGUGUGGUGUAGCGGUGAAAUGCAUAGAGAUCACACAGAACACCGAUUGCGAAGGCAUCUCACGAAUCCGCGAUUGACGCUGAGGCACGAAAGCGUGGGUAUCAAACAGGAUUAGAUACCCGAGUAGUC
This 460-nucleotide ribosomal RNA is filed under the name uncultured bacterium. Its description in RNAcentral is "partial 16S ribosomal RNA". It matches the Rfam family "Bacterial small subunit ribosomal RNA", at positions 338 to 795 of the family's 1533-position model. The record is from RNAcentral.